RNAcentral lists this ribosomal RNA (194 nucleotides) under uncultured Syntrophobacter sp. RNAcentral describes it as "partial 16S ribosomal RNA". It matches the Rfam family "Bacterial small subunit ribosomal RNA", at positions 337 to 522 of the family's 1533-position model. Lineage: Bacteria; Pseudomonadati; Thermodesulfobacteriota; Syntrophobacteria; Syntrophobacterales; Syntrophobacteraceae. The record is from RNAcentral.
UCCUACGGGAGGCAGCAGUGAGGAAUUUUGCGCAAUGGCCGCAAGGCUGACGCAGCAACGCCGCGUGGGUGAAGAAGGCCUUCGGGUCGUAAAGCCCUGUCAGGUGGGAAGAAUGAGCGGGGGGUUAAUAUCCCUUCGCAGUGACGGUACCACCAAAGGAAGCACCGGCUAACUCCGUGCCAGCAGCCGCGGUA